GGUUAUAUAAUUUAAAAAAAAAUAUUAAUUUUGUAAAUUAAAUUUAAAUUUUAAAAAAUUUUAUGACUU
This 69-nucleotide transfer RNA is filed under the name Capitonius sp. QL-2013. Its description in RNAcentral is "tRNA-Thr". The record is from RNAcentral. Lineage: Eukaryota; Metazoa; Arthropoda; Insecta; Hymenoptera; Braconidae.